UAUGUGUUUUUUUCUCAGUCUAAUUAACUUGCGGGUAUGUGUUCACGUAAUGGUGGAAAGCAGAAGAAGGUGAUCAUGUUGUUGACAGAAGAUAGAGGGCACAUG
RNAcentral lists this microRNA precursor (105 nucleotides) under Picea abies (Norway spruce). Its description in RNAcentral is "miR156p stem-loop (pab-MIR156p)". Its record names the gene pab-MIR156p. Lineage: Eukaryota; Viridiplantae; Streptophyta; Pinopsida; Pinales; Pinaceae. The record is from miRBase by way of RNAcentral.